AGAGUUUGAUCAUGGCUCAGGACGAACGCUGGCGGUAUGCUUAAGACAUGCAAGUCGCACGGUCCCGCAAGGGACAGUGGCGGACGGGUGAGUAACACGUGGAUAACCUGCCCGAUUCCCCGGGAUAACAGGCCGAAAGGCCUGCUAAUACCGGGUAAGCUCACGCUGCCGCAUGGCAGUGGGAGAAAAGCUCCUGCAAGGGAGUGGGAUCGGAGGGGUCCGCGGUCCAUUAGCUAGUUGGGGGGGUAACGGCCCACCAAGGCGACGAUGGAUAGCCGGCCUGAGAGGGCGACCGGCCACACUGGGACUGAGACACGGCCCAGACUCCUACGGGAGGCAGCAGUCGGGAAUUUUGGGCAAUGGCCGCAAGGGCUGACCCAGCAAUACCGCGUGAGUGAAGAAGGCCUUCGGGUUGUAAAGCUCUGUUGCCCGUGAAGAACGGUGCUCACAGGAAAUGGUGGGUACUUGACGGUAGCGGGAGAGGAAGCUCCGGCUAACUACGUGCCAGCAGCCGCGGUAAUACGUAGGGAGCGAGCGUUGUCCGGAUUUAUUGGGCGUAAAGGGCGUGUAGGCGGCUUGUUAAGUCUGAGGUGAAAAUCCAGGGCUCAACCCUGGAACUGCCUCGGAUACUGGCGAGCUUGAGUGCUCUAGAGGGCAGUGGAAUUCCCGGUGUAGCAGUGAAAUGCGUAGAGAUCGGGAGGAACACCAGUGGCGAAGGCGACUGCCUGGGGAGUAACUGACGCUGAGGCGCGAAAGCUGGGGGAGCAAACGGGAUUAGAUACCCCGGUAGUCCCAGCCGU
This 800-nucleotide ribosomal RNA is filed under the name uncultured bacterium. RNAcentral's name for it is "bacterial SSU rRNA". It matches the Rfam family "Bacterial small subunit ribosomal RNA", at positions 8 to 803 of the family's 1533-position model. The record is from RNAcentral.